AAUGAACGCUGGCGGCAUGGAUUAGGCAUGCAAGUCGAACGGUAACAGAGAAGCUUGCUUCUGCUGACGAGUGGCGAAAGGGUGAGUAACGCGUGAGUAAUUUACCUCUAGAUUGGGAAUAGCCCUGCGAAAGUGGGAUUAAUACCGAAUGUGGCGAUUUUUUUAUGAAAAGUUUGCUAAAGGAAUCUUCGGAUUUCGUCUAGAGAUGAGCUCGCGUCCUAUUAGCUUGUUGGUAAGGUAAUGGCUUACCAAGGCAACGACAGGUAGGUGAACUGAGAGGUUGAUCACCCACACUGGGACUGAGAACUGCCCAG
This 314-nucleotide ribosomal RNA is filed under the name uncultured bacterium. RNAcentral describes it as "bacterial SSU rRNA". It matches the Rfam family "Bacterial small subunit ribosomal RNA", at positions 29 to 334 of the family's 1533-position model. The record is from RNAcentral.